UACGUAGGGUGCGAGCGUUAAUCGGAAUUACUGGGCGUAAAGCGUGCGUAGGCGGUUCGCUGUGUCCGAUGUGAAAGCCCCGAGCUUAACUUGGGAACUGCGUUUGAAACUGGGAGACUUGAGUGUGGCAGAGGGGGGUGGAAUUCCACGUGUAGCAGUGAAAUGCGUAGAUAUGUGGAGGAACACCGAUGGCGAAGGCAGCCCCCUGGGUUAACACUGACGCUCAUGCACGAAAGCGUGGGGAGCAAACAGG
Molecule: ribosomal RNA, 253 nt
Filed under: uncultured bacterium
Lineage: Bacteria
Description: partial 16S ribosomal RNA
Rfam family: Bacterial small subunit ribosomal RNA
Source: RNAcentral